RNAcentral lists this ribosomal RNA (500 nucleotides) under uncultured Glomeromycotina. Its description in RNAcentral is "partial small subunit ribosomal RNA". It matches the Rfam family "Eukaryotic small subunit ribosomal RNA", at positions 591 to 1092 of the family's 1831-position model. The record is from RNAcentral. Lineage: Eukaryota; Fungi; Glomeromycota.
CCAAUAGCGUAUAUUAAAGUUGUUGCAGUUAAAAAGCUCGUAGUUGAAUUUCGGGGUUAGUAGGUUGGUCAUGCCCCCGGUAUGUACUGAUCUCACUGAUUCCUCCUUCCUUAUGAACCGUAAUGCCAUUAAUUUGGUGUUGCGGGGAAUUUGGACUGUUACUUUGAAAAAAUUAGAGUGUUUAAAGCAAGCUAACGCUUGAAUACAUUAGCAUGGAAUAAUGAAAUAGGACGUUCGAUCUUAUUUUGUUGGUUUCUAGGAUUGACGUAAUGAUUAAUAGGGAUAGUUGGGGGCAUUAGUAUUCAAUUGUCAGAGGUGAAAUUCUUGGAUUUAUUGAAGACUAACUACUGCGAAAGCAUUUGCCAAGGAUGUUUUCAUUAAUCAAGAACGAAAGUUAGGGGAUCGAAGACGAUCAGAUACCGUCGUAGUCUUAACCAUAAACUAUGCCGACUAGGGAUCGGAUGAUGUUAAUUUUUUAAUGACUCAUUCGGCGCCUUACG